This 82-nucleotide transfer RNA is filed under the name Alloalcanivorax dieselolei B5. RNAcentral describes it as "Alcanivorax dieselolei B5 tRNA". It matches the Rfam family "tRNA". From Rfam's summary of the family: Transfer RNA (tRNA) molecules are approximately 80 nucleotides in length. Their secondary structure includes four short double-helical elements and three loops (D, anti-codon, and T loops). The record is from Rfam by way of RNAcentral. Lineage: Bacteria; Pseudomonadati; Pseudomonadota; Gammaproteobacteria; Oceanospirillales; Alcanivoracaceae. RNAcentral also lists the same sequence under 1 other name.
GCGCCAGUGGUGGAAUUGGUAGACACGCCAGAUUUAGGUUCUGGUGCCGAGAGGUGUGGGGGUUCAAGUCCCUCCUGGCGCA